UGGUAUGGUGGUGCCAGGCUGAGAUGGGGCAAGGUGCCUUUGGAAGAUAGGCCCAGUUUCCAGGCAUAGGCUAGCCCAGUUCUGAGGGCAACCUCUGGCAAUGGGCCAGACAGAAGGCAAGAUGCCAGCCAAGUUGGGUAGGGUCUGGGUUAGGUUCUAAGUCCAGGAGAUGAAACACAUUAAGGAAACUUCCAGGGGCUGGAGAGAUGACUCAGCAGUUAAGAGCACUGGCUGUUCUUCCAGAGGUCCUGAGUUCAAUUCCCAGCAACCACAUGGUGGCUCACGACCAUCUGUAAUGGGAUUCGAUGCCCCUCUUCUGCUGUGUCUGAAGAAAGCUACAAUGUAUCCUAUACAAUAAAUAAAUAAUUCUUUAAAAAAAGAAAAAGAAACUUCCAGGAGCCCGUGGCACACCAACCAGGCAAGUGAUUCCAGGGAAGUUGCAAAAAAGAAAAAGAGAAAACAAAACCAAAGCCCUGUGUUUGGGACCCCAGUGAGUGUAGUCUUUAUUGAAAGAAGGGGCGCUGAGACUAAGCUGUUGUACACCCCUUGUGCUCAUGUGCCAGACAUCAUCAAUCAAUCCCUGUAUCUUUUCCUGAUGAGCCCUUAUAAAUAAGUACCUCAAAACUGUUCAAAACAGAAGCCCCACAGUCACGGCCGAUAGGUCAGAGCUGACAUGUCCUUAUUGGCUUGACCCGGAGCUGGUUUAGGGAGUGGAAGUGGUUACAGAAGAGCCAAGUAGGGAACCCAUCCGAGGCACGGUGGACAGAGUUCACUGGUGAGAUGAACACGCGCAGUCUGUUUGGGCCAGGCCGGGCACAGCUCUGCGGGUGGGGGAGCAGCAGUGUCCCAGUGGGGGAGAGCAGGCUGAUUCACAGACCAAGAGCCAGCACAGGAAGAGAUUGAACUCAGCAGGCGUAACUGCUAAGGCAAGGGCAAAGCCGGCUGUGCAAGACAAUCAGGUCUCCGGCAUGGAAUGUAUCGAAAUGUAUCAGAGGGGGGAUCAGAGAGGAGAUUCAUGGGCAGGAAGGGGAAGGGUUUUGCCACAAAGGCAAGGGGGCAGGGAAGCUCCUGAGGAAGACAAUCUCAGGGUGGAAGAGGGAUAGACCACUGAUCUAGCUCUGGCUCUGUUCCCUAGGAGAGAAGCCCACUUGGUGCACUUGGGGGUGGUUACAAAGGAGUCACAGGUACCCUGUCCAAGUUAGGCAGCCUGCUGGCUUCUGCUUCACUUGGGCUCAGAGUCUAGUGCCCACUUGACGUUUAGGAAUAGCGUAGGGUCUGCAGACAUACUGGCCUCGGCCUCCCGAGUGGCCUAAGCGUCA
This 1319-nucleotide long non-coding RNA is filed under the name Rattus norvegicus (Norway rat). RNAcentral describes it as "long non-coding RNA NONRATT023773". The record is from RNAcentral. Lineage: Eukaryota; Metazoa; Chordata; Mammalia; Rodentia; Muridae.